This 89-nucleotide transfer RNA is filed under the name Candidatus Coliplasma equi. Its description in RNAcentral is "tRNA-Leu". It matches the Rfam family "tRNA". From Rfam's summary of the family: Transfer RNA (tRNA) molecules are approximately 80 nucleotides in length. Their secondary structure includes four short double-helical elements and three loops (D, anti-codon, and T loops). Lineage: Bacteria; Bacillati; Bacillota; Clostridia; Eubacteriales. The record is from RNAcentral.
GCCGGAAUGGCGAAAUUGGCAGACGCACUGGACUUAAAAUCCAGCGGUGGUAAAACACCGUACCGGUUCAAGCCCGGUUUCCGGCACCA